GACGAACGCUGGCGGCGUGCUUAACACAUGCAAGUCGAACGGAAAGGCCCUGCUUUUGUGGGGUGCUCGAGUGGCGAACGGGUGAGUAACCCGUGAGUCACCUGCCCUUGACUUUGGGAUAACUUCAGGAAACUGGGGCUAAUACCGGAUAGGAGCUCCUGCUGCAUGGUGGGGUUUGGAACGUUUCGGCGGUUGGGGAUGGACUCGCGGCUUAUCAGCUUGUUGGUGGGGUAGUGGCUUACCAAGGCUUUGACGGGUAGCCGGCCUGAGAGGGUGAACGGCCACAUUGGGACUGAGAGACGGCCCAGACUCCUACGGGAGGCAGCAGUGGGGAAUAUUGCACAAUGGGCGGAAGCCUGAUGCAGCAACGCCGCGUGCGGGAUGACGGCCUUCGGGUUGUAAACCGCUGUCGCCUGUGACGAAGCGUGAGUGACGGUAAUGGGUAAAGAAGCACCGGCUAACUACGUG
This 468-nucleotide ribosomal RNA is filed under the name uncultured bacterium. Its description in RNAcentral is "partial 16S ribosomal RNA". It matches the Rfam family "Bacterial small subunit ribosomal RNA", at positions 28 to 507 of the family's 1533-position model. The record is from RNAcentral.